Molecule: long non-coding RNA, 1632 nt
Filed under: Capra hircus (goat)
Lineage: Eukaryota; Metazoa; Chordata; Mammalia; Artiodactyla; Bovidae
Description: lncRNA (ENSCHIG00010006844.1)
Source: RNAcentral
GGGGGAGCCUGGUGGGCUGCCGUCUAUGGGAUCCCACAGAGUUGGACACGACUGAAGUGACUUAGCAGCAGCAGCAGCAACAACACUCUUCCUUAUUCACCUCUGAGGAGUAAAAACCAAGCAAUAUUCUCCUAGGAAGAUGGAGCUUUGACUGUGAUUCAAUAAGCCUCUGUAUAGUGACUUUUCAAUAGAUUUUCCAUCUUUCCAUUCCCUUGAGUUUUUUAGGAGUAAGAACAAGGCCUGAGUCAGGAAGAUAAUUACAUGAGCAAUUUAUUAAACUGUGUUGUAGCCUUUAAAGAGAUUUCAUUUUCUUUUGACCCUUGUUUCCUUAUAUCUCCCUCAUCUUACUUCUACUGUAGCCACUGUGAUGUUAACACCACAUGAACAGGGUAUGUGUUCCUGGAAACAGCCUGUUUUUCAUUUAGGUCAGAAUUUCUCCAACUGGUAUGUACUCUUUGACAUCCUAGAAUUCUCUAUGUGAAAUCAAAAUUAAUUUGAGUGCAUUCUGUAACUUUUGGAAGACAAUCUGUAAUUUGAGUGUUCACAUUUGAGUUUGUGUCAUAGGUGUGUUCUCAUCAAAUAGGAAGGAAAGUUUUUCAUUAGUUUAAGUUAAAAAAUGUGGGAGAAUUGAGUCAUUACAGACCACACAGUAGGAUAGACCCCAUGGCAGUCAGACUCUGUUGUAAUUGGUGAUCUGUUGGUUUGGACCCACUUUUUGUGCAAAGGCUCCUCUGCCCUCCAUUGUCUCCCAGAUUUUGCUCAAAUUUAUGCCCAUUGAGUCAGUGAUAUUAUCUAAGCAUCUCAUUCUCUUUUUCACCUGCAAUCUUUCUGGUAUGAGUCUUUUCCAAUGAGUCAGCUCUUUGCAUCAGCCCACUUUGGCUGUCUUUGGCUCAGGUGGCCAAAACAUUAGAGCUUCAGCUUCAGCAUCAGUCUUUCCAAUGAAUAUUCAGGUUUGCUUUCCUUUAGGAUUGACUGGUUUGAUCUCGUUUCGGUGUUAAAUGUAAGCAAAUUAAGGAGGAGGGCUGAGCUGAAGUUUAAGACUGUAAAAUAAUUUCAGAGGAGUUGCUAUUGAGGAAUUAAUAGACUUAUCUAUGAAUUGUUCUCUAAAUUUACCAGAUUAAAAGGAUCAACCUUAAUAUUAUUUUAAAAGCAAGUUUUCAUUGGAGAGUGUUUCUCUGGGUCUGGGUUGGGAUUCUAAAAUUUUUAACAAGCCUCUAGAGGGAUUUUUAUAACUACCAGGUGUGGGAAACUAGACACCACAGAGAGAGGGAGUUAACUAAGAGUGAGUAAGAGGAUUGGAAGAUAAAGGCUGGACUCAGGUCAAGGGGUGAAAGGAAUGGGAGGAGAGUACAGUCAGAAAUGUUGAUCCCUGCAUUGCCGGCUGAAUAGGGGUAGGAAUGAAGCUAAGAAGGAAGAAUACGCUUGUACUUGGUCCUAAAAAAUAAUGAGGGUGUGUCUACUGGUAGGCUAAAAGAGCAACUUGCUAUGGUAAAAGAUUUCAGAGAUCACGGUUUCAGUAGUGGAGCAGAUUCUGAAUUUGUGUUGACAUGAAUGCCGUGGAAAAUGGCAGAAUAGUUUUUCUGGCUUUGCUUCCUUCAAAUUCAUGAUCAAUAAUGCUGCCAGGAAACUCUU